This 328-nucleotide ribosomal RNA is filed under the name uncultured bacterium. RNAcentral describes it as "bacterial LSU rRNA". It matches the Rfam family "Bacterial large subunit ribosomal RNA", at positions 114 to 487 of the family's 2925-position model. The record is from RNAcentral.
CUGAAUGGGGAAACCCACCCGCAAGGGUAUCCUGCACUGAAUACAUAGGUGUAGGAGGCGAACGAGGGGAACUGAAACAUCUAAGUACCCUUAGGAAAAGAAAUCAAUUGAGAUUCCCACAGUAGCGGCGAGCGACCUGGGAACAGCCUGCAAGUGAUAUCAGUUUAUUUAGUGGAACGGUCUGGAAAGUCCGGCGAUACAGGGUGAUAGCCCCGUACACGAAAAGUAUUCUGUGGUACUAAGCUUGCGACAAGUAGGUCGGGACACGUGUUAUCUUGACUGAAGAUGGGGGGACCAUCCUCCAAGGCUAAAUACUACUGACGACCGA